GACGAACGCUGGCGGCGUGCCUAAUACAUGCGAGUUGAGCGAUGAAGUUUGGUGCUUGCACCAAUUUGAAGAGCAGCGAACGGGUGAGUAACGCGUGGGGAAUCUGCCUUUGAGCGGGGGACAACAUUUGGAAACGAAUGCUAAUACCGCAUAACAACUUUAAACAUAAGUUUUAAGUUUGAAAGAUGCAAUUGCAUCACUCAAAGAUGAUCCCGCGUUGUAUUAGCUAGUUGGUGAGGUAAAGGCUCACCAAGGCGAUGAUACAUAGCCGACCUGAGAGGGUGAGCGGCCACAUUGGGACUGAGACACGGCCCAAACUCCUGCGGGAGGCAGCCGUAGGGAAUCUUCGGCAAUGGAAGCAAGUCUGACCGAGCAACGCCGCGUGAGUGAAGAAGGUUUUCGGAUCGUAAAACUCUGUUGGUAGAGAAGAACGUUGGUGAGAGUGGAAAGCUCAUCAAGUGACGGUAACUACCCAGAAAGGGACGGCUAACUACGUG
RNAcentral lists this ribosomal RNA (497 nucleotides) under uncultured bacterium. RNAcentral's name for it is "partial 16S ribosomal RNA". It matches the Rfam family "Bacterial small subunit ribosomal RNA", at positions 28 to 507 of the family's 1533-position model. The record is from RNAcentral.